UUUUAUAAGUGGUGAAGUGGGGACGAAGAAGGCUAGGUGAGCCAGGCGUUGGUUGUCCUGGUACUUGCAUGUAGGGGGGAAGACUUGGCAAAUCCGGUUUUCCAUAACUCUGAGGUGCGAAGUGGUUCUGACCUUUUGGUACAGAGAAGUCAUUGAUGCCCGGCUUCCAGGAAAAGCUGCUAGCCAUAACUUAUAGAGAACCGUACCGCAAACCGACACAGGUGGACAGGUAGAGAAUACUAAGGCGCUUGAGAGAACUCGGGUGAAGGAACUAGGCAAAAUGGUACCGUAACUUCGGGAGAAGGUACGCCCUUUUGGGUGAGGGCAUUUACUGUCUGAGCUUAAGAGGGCCGCAGAGACCAGGUGGCUGCGACUGUUUAUUAAAAACACAGCACUCUGCAAAUUCGUAAGAAGACGUAUAGGGUGUGACGCCUGCCCGGUGCCGGAAGGUUAAUUGAUGGGGUUAUCUUCGGAGAAGCUCUUGAUCGAAGCCCCGGUAAACGGCGGCCGUAACUAUAACGGUCCUAAGGUAGCGAAAUUCCUUGUCGGGUAAGUUCCGACCUGCACGAAUGGCGUAACGAUGGCCACACUGUCUCCACCCGAGACUCAGUGAAAUUGAAAUCGCUGUGAAGAUGCAGUGUACCCGCGGCUAGACGGAAAGACCCCGUGAACCUUUACUAUAGUUUUGCACUGGACUUUGAUGAUGACUGUGUAGGAUAGGUGGGAGGCUGUGAAGUGAGGACGCUAGUUCUCAUGGAGCCGCCCUUGAAAUACCACCCUGUUGUUAUUGAGGUUCUAACUUGGUCCAGUAAUCCUGGAUGAGGACAGUGUAUGAUGGGUAGUUUGACUGGGGCGGUCUCCUCCCAAAGAGUAACGGAGGAGCACAAAGGUACCCUCGGUACGGUCGGACAUCGUACCAAGAGUGUAAAGGCAAAAGGGUGCUUGACUGCGAGAGUGACGGCUCGAGCAGGAACGAAAGUUGGUCUUAGUGAUCCGGUGGUUCUGAAUGGAAGGGCCAUCGCUCAACGGAUAAAAGGUACUCCGGGGAUAACAGGCUGAUACCGCCCAAGAGUUCAUAUCGACGGCGGUGUUUGGCACCUCGAUGUCGGCUCAUCACAUCCUGGGGCUGAAGCAGGUCCCAAGGGUAUGGCUGUUCGCCAUUUAAAGUGGUACGCGAGCUGGGUUUAGAACGUCGUGAGACAGUUCGGUCCCUAUCUGCCGUGGGCGUAGGAAAAUUGAGAGGAGCUGCUCCUAGUACGAGAGGACCGGAGUGGACGAACCUCUGGUGCACCGGUUGUCACGCCAGUGGCAUGGCCGGGUAGCUAAGUUCGGACGGGAUAACCGCUGAAAGCAUCUAAGCGGGAAGCCUCCCUCAAGAUGAGUUUUCCCAUGAAGCCCGUUGAAGACUACGACGUUGAUAGGCAAGGUGUGGAAGCGCAGUAAUGCGUGAAGCUAACUUGUACUAAUUGGCUGAUUGUCUUGACCAUAUAAUCUGAG
Molecule: ribosomal RNA, 1497 nt
Filed under: Legionella pneumophila
Lineage: Bacteria; Pseudomonadati; Pseudomonadota; Gammaproteobacteria; Legionellales; Legionellaceae
Description: partial 23S ribosomal RNA
Rfam family: Bacterial large subunit ribosomal RNA
Source: RNAcentral